CAAAUUAAAAAGAUAGUACCACAAGAGGAAGAGACGGCUAACUCUGUGCCAGCAGCCGCGGUAAUACAGAGGUCUCAAGCGUUGUUCGGAAUCACUGGGCGUAAAGCGUGCGUAGGCUGUUUCGUAAGUCGUGUGUGAAAGGCGCGGGCUCAACCCGCGGACGGCACAUGAUACUGCGAGACUAGAGUAAUGGAGGGGGAACCGGAAUUCUCGGUGUAGCAGUGAAAUGCGUAGAUAUCGAGAGGAACACUCGUGGCGAAGGCGGGUUCCUGGACAUUAACUGACGCUGAGGCACGAAGGCCAGGGGAGCGAAA
RNAcentral lists this ribosomal RNA (314 nucleotides) under uncultured Akkermansia sp. Its description in RNAcentral is "bacterial SSU rRNA". It matches the Rfam family "Bacterial small subunit ribosomal RNA", at positions 460 to 773 of the family's 1533-position model. The record is from RNAcentral. Lineage: Bacteria; Pseudomonadati; Verrucomicrobiota; Verrucomicrobiia; Verrucomicrobiales; Akkermansiaceae.